Molecule: non-coding RNA, 221 nt
Organism: Podarcis muralis (Common wall lizard)
Lineage: Eukaryota; Metazoa; Chordata; Lepidosauria; Squamata; Lacertidae
Source: RefSeq, a predicted model, not a curated record
GAGCCAGCACAGCACACAGAAUGCCGUUUACCUUCCCGCUGGAAAGUGACUCAAAAAGGCACGAAGUGUGUGGAAUGGCAAUCGCUUGAUGUGACUCGUGGCAUCACCUUCCCCACACGUGAAUCAGAAUGAAAGCUCAAUAAACGGCCGGGGUGUACCCUGCCGACUUUGUGCAAACAAGUAAGGAUUGAUGAUAAAUAAACGAGUCGUCUGCAACUGAA